GCUUGUUUAAUGAAUACACAAGCAUGAUCUUUCUAGGUCUAAAUUUCUUUUUUCAUGUGAAUUUGAUUACCGCAUUUGGGUUGACUGGUUCGUGGAAAAUUCUAUUCAUUAUUUUUGGUGUGUGCCUCUUUUAAUAUUUGACUAGCCCAAAGCUAACAUGGAAGUUGUCGAUGCCGAAGAUUAUGCUUGUGCCUUUGAGUUCUAUAAGCUGUCUUCAAAGGAUAAAUCUCAAACUGACCAGAUGGAGUCAUUUAUGACAUAUUAACAUUCAAUAGGUCUUAUUAAACAAAUUUGUUGGUUAUGUGGAUCUUGCCUUUUUAUUUUUGUUCGUUUCCAAGUUUGUUCUUUUAGAUUGGUGUCCAUCUGCUGCACCAAGUCUUGAACCCUCAGCCUAAUAAACACUUGAGAAACAAGCACAGCAGAUAGGUAGAGGAGCUUGGUAAAUUGGUGUCUUCAAAUUGAUCACCAAGUUGAAAACCAGUUAAAAGCAGAAUUCAGAUGUUCAUUACCAUGUGCUAGGUCAUGCAAUGGUCAUAAUAUGCCUUAUUAUCAUAUCACUUUAUAUCCUUUUGUCUUGAAAGAUGUUGAUACUGUCUAUACUUGAGAUUCUUAUGUGGAUCAAUUAUUUUGCCCACAUUGUAAAAGGAAACAAAAUGUCAUCAACUUGUAUAUUGUGCUAAAAGAUGUAGAUCCAAUAGCCCAGUUCUGAUAAACCAUAGGGAGUGUCAUAUGAAAGAGUUGUGAAGGAAUGUUAAAAAAAUACACACUGGAACUUACCUUAAUCUGAGUUCUGCAAUGUUGGGGGGACUAGAAGAUUGUUAGAAUUAUCCACUUCUGAUAAACCAUAGGGAGUGUCAUAUGGAAGAGUUGUGAAGAAAUGUUAAAAAAAUACACACCGGAACUUACCUUAAUCUGAGUUCUGCAACAUUUGGGGGACUAGAAGAUUGAUAGAAAUAAUUCUAAUAUUUUGCUUCAAUGAUUAGGUCGAAUUUCUACAUUCAAGUUUGAGUUAUUAUAAAGAUUAUUUAAUCUUUUUAAAUCAUGGUUUGUGUAUUAUGUAAGAGAUGUUUGGAAUUUCUUGUCCGAUAUAUUUGAGACAAUAGUUUUUUUUCGGUUCUUUGCUGAAUGAGCAAAGGCAUUCAUUUCAUGGUUUGCUGAAUGAUAUUGGCUUAUUUUCCCUUUUCUCCAGGUACUUUCGGAUGGAUCCUCUGCCAGGACCUGCAGGUAGGUGAUAUUUGUCCUACAUCUUCUCAAGCCUUUAGCUUUGGACAAGUCAGAAGCUAGCUCUGACAGUUAUGAAAUGGGCAUAUGGGGUGGAACACUCGUAGGCAGGCUAUCAAAGAGUCUACUCUGUGAUACGAUGAGAUAAGCGAGAAACAACCAGAGAUUCUUCACUUCUCUAAUACAAUAUAAUUGAAACUUGCACUGUUGUAUCAACAUUGUUUUGCAAACAGUGUAGCAUUGGGGCUGCCCAAAAUACGUUUAUGACACUAGAAUUACAUGGGCAGGUAAUUGCUAUUGUUUUGGAUAAUUCCUGCCUACAGUUUUCCAUUUCAAGCAGUUGAGUUGCAUUCUUCUGUUCAUAGCUCUGUCCAGAAACAUAACAUAAAUCUAUCAGGAUCAGAAUGCAUUCUUUGCGAA
Elaeis guineensis (African oil palm) is the source of this 1641-nucleotide non-coding RNA. The record is from RefSeq and is a predicted model, not a curated record. Lineage: Eukaryota; Viridiplantae; Streptophyta; Magnoliopsida; Arecales; Arecaceae.